This 465-nucleotide ribosomal RNA is filed under the name uncultured Treponema sp. RNAcentral's name for it is "bacterial SSU rRNA". It matches the Rfam family "Bacterial small subunit ribosomal RNA", at positions 25 to 482 of the family's 1533-position model. Lineage: Bacteria; Pseudomonadati; Spirochaetota; Spirochaetia; Treponematales; Treponemataceae. The record is from RNAcentral.
CAGAACGAACGCUGGCGGCGCGUCUUAAGCAUGCAAGUCGGGCGGCAAGCAUCAGCAAUGGUGCCUAGAGCGGCGGACUGGUGAGUAACGCGUGGGUGACCUGCCUUAAGGUUGGGGAUAGCCGUUAGAAAUAGCGGGUAAUACCGGAUGUGGUUGCUCCGCUGUGGCGGAGCAAAGAAAGGCGCUUUGGCGCCGCCUUAAGAUGGGCCCGCGUCCCAUUAGCUAGUUGGUGGGUAAGGGCUUACCAAGGCGAUGAUGGGUAGCCGGCCUGAGAGGGUGAACGGCCACACUGGGACUGAGAUACGGCCCAGACUCCUACGGGAGGCAGCAGCUAAGAAUAUUCCGCAAUGGCCGCAAGGCUGACGGAGCGACGCCGCGUGGAUGAGGAAGGCCGAAAGGUUGUAAAAUCCUUUUGCCGGAGAAGAAUAAGCGUGGCAGGGAAUGGCCGCGUGAUGACGUAUCUGG